CCUACGGGUGGCAGCAGUGGGGAAUAUUGCACAAUGGAGGAAACCCUGAUGCAGCGACGCCGCGUGAGUGAAGAAGUAAUUCGUUAUGUAAAGCUCUAUCAGUAGGGAAGAAAAUGACGAUACCUGUGUAAGUAGCCCCGGCUAACUACGUGCCAGCAGCCGCGGUAAUACGUAGGGGGCAAGCGUUAUCCGGAUUUACUGGGUGUAAAGGGAGCGUAGACGGCCGUGCAAGUCCGAAGUGAAAGGCGGAGGCUCAACCCCCGGACUGCUCUGGAAACUGUACGGCUGGAGUGCAGGUGAGGUAAGUGGAAUGCAUGGUGUAGCGGUGAAAUGCGUAGAUAUUAGGAGGAACACCAGUGGCGAAGGCAGCUUACUGGACUGUAACUGACGUUGAGGCUCGAAAGCGUGGGGAGCAAACAGGAUUAGAUACCCGGGUAGUC
Molecule: ribosomal RNA, 440 nt
Filed under: uncultured bacterium
Lineage: Bacteria
Description: partial 16S ribosomal RNA
Rfam family: Bacterial small subunit ribosomal RNA
Source: RNAcentral